This is a non-coding RNA of Artibeus jamaicensis (Jamaican fruit-eating bat), 452 nucleotides long. NCBI's taxonomy places the organism in Eukaryota, Metazoa, Chordata, Mammalia, Chiroptera, Phyllostomidae. The record is from the annotation of a RefSeq genome assembly.
GGCUCAGGGGCUGUGAGCACCAUGGCCUGGACUCCUCUCCUCCUCGUGCUCCUCUCUCACUGCACAGGUUCCCUCUCCCAGCCUGGGGUGACUCAGCCGCCCUCCCUCUCUGCAUCUCCUGGAGCCUCAGCCAGACUCACCUGCACCCUCAGCAGUGACAUCAGUGUUAGCAACUAUAGGAUAUACUGGUACCAGCAGAAGCCAGGCAGCCCUCCCCAGUAUCUGCUGAGAUAUAAAUCAGACUCAGACAAGCACCAGGGCUCUGGGGUCCCCAGCCGCUUCUCUGGAUCCAAAGACACCUCUGCCAAUGCAGGGCUCCUGCUCAUCUCUGGGCUGCAGCCUGAGGACGAGGCCGACUAUUACUGUAUGAUCUGGCUCAGUAGUGCUCCUCACAGUGACUCACACAGAAGGGGAAGUGGAACAAAAACCUCAGCCUAACAGAGUUUUCUUCA